Molecule: transfer RNA, 71 nt
Filed under: Crocinitomix catalasitica
Lineage: Bacteria; Pseudomonadati; Bacteroidota; Flavobacteriia; Flavobacteriales; Crocinitomicaceae
Also listed under: 5 other names
Rfam family: tRNA
About the family: Transfer RNA (tRNA) molecules are approximately 80 nucleotides in length. Their secondary structure includes four short double-helical elements and three loops (D, anti-codon, and T loops).
Source: RNAcentral
ACGGGCGUAGUUCAAUGGUAGAAUGUCGGUCUCCAACACCGCUGAUGAGGGUUCGAAUCCUUCCGCCCGUG